AGGAUAAUAGUUUAAUAAACAUUUAAGUUGCAUUUAAAAAAUAUUGGUCAUCCAAUUUAUCUUA
RNAcentral lists this transfer RNA (64 nucleotides) under Trigonopterus selaruensis. RNAcentral's name for it is "tRNA-Ala". The record is from RNAcentral. Lineage: Eukaryota; Metazoa; Arthropoda; Insecta; Coleoptera; Curculionidae.